RNAcentral lists this ribosomal RNA (449 nucleotides) under uncultured bacterium. Its description in RNAcentral is "partial 16S ribosomal RNA". It matches the Rfam family "Bacterial small subunit ribosomal RNA", at positions 29 to 523 of the family's 1533-position model. The record is from RNAcentral.
AGCGAACGCUGGCGGCAGGCCUAACACAUGCAAGUCGAGCGCCGUAGCAAUACGGAGCGGCAGACGGGAGAGUAACACGUGGGAACGUACCCUUUGGUUCGGAACAACCCAGGGAAACUUGGGCUAAUACCGGAUAAGCCCUCACGGGGAAAGAUUCAUCGCCGAAGGAUCGGCCCGCGUCUGAUUAGCUAGUUGGUGGGGUAAUGGCCCACCAAGGCGACGAUCAGUAGCUGGUCUGAGAGGAUGAUCAGCCUCACUGGGACUGAGACACGGCCCAGACUCCUACGGGAGGCAGCAGUGGGGAAUAUUGGACAAUGGGCGCAAGCCCGAUCCAGCCAUGCCGCGUGGGUGAUGAAGGCCCUAGGGUUGUAAAGCCCUUUCGGCGGGGAAGAUAAUGACGGUACCCGCAGAAGAAGCCCCGGCUAACUUCGUGCCAGCCGCCGCAGUAA